GGUUUAAAGGGUGCGUAGGCGGUCUUGUAAGUCAGUGGUGAAAUUCCGGGCUCAACCCGGAACGUGCCAUUGAUACUGCAGGACUGGAAUGUGGAUGCCGUUUGGGAAUGUGUGGUGUAGCGGUGAAAUGCAUAGAUAUCACACAGAACACCGAUUGCGAAGGCGCAGACGAAUCCAUGAUUGACGCUGAGGCACGAAAGUGUGGGGAUCAAACAGGAUUAGAUCCCUGGUAGUCCACACAGUAAACGAUGAUGACUCGCUGUCGGCGAUAUACAGUCGGUGGUAAGAGAAAUCGAUAAGUCAUCCACCUGGGGAGUACGACCGCAAGGUUGAAACUCAAAGGAUUGACGGGGGCCCGCACAAGCGGAGGAACAUGUGGUUUAAUUCGAUGAUACGCGAGGAACUUACCCGGGCUCGAACGGCUGGUGAACGACUCAGAGAUGAGGAGGUCCUUCGGGACGCCAUCGAGGUGCUGCAUGGUUGUCGUCAGCUCGUGCCGUGAGGUGUCGGCUUAAGUGCCAUAAGAGCGCAACCCUUGCUGAUAGUUACCAUCAGGUAAUGCUGGGGACUCUAUCAGGACUGCCCCGUAAGGUGAGAGGAAGGGGGGGAUGACGUCAAAUCAGCACGGCCCUUACGUCCGGGGCACACACGUGUUACAAUGGCAGGUACAGAGGGCGGCCAGGCAGCGAUGCCGCGCAAAUCUCAAAGCCUGUCUCAGUUCGGAUUGGAGUCUGCAACUCGACUCCAUGAAGUUGGAUUCGCUAUAAUCGCGCAUCAGCCAUGGCGCGGUGAAUACGUUCCCGGGCCUUGCACACACCGCCCGU
Molecule: ribosomal RNA, 824 nt
Filed under: uncultured bacterium
Lineage: Bacteria
Description: bacterial SSU rRNA
Rfam family: Bacterial small subunit ribosomal RNA
Source: RNAcentral